Molecule: ribosomal RNA, 253 nt
Filed under: uncultured bacterium
Lineage: Bacteria
Description: partial 16S ribosomal RNA
Rfam family: Bacterial small subunit ribosomal RNA
Source: RNAcentral
UACGUAGGGCGCAAGCGUUAUCCGGAAUUAUUGGGCGUAAAGAGCUCGUAGGCGGUUUGUCGCGUCUGCCGUGAAAGUCCGGGGCUCAACUCCGGAUCUGCGGUGGGUACGGGCAGACUAGAGUGAUGUAGGGGAGACUGGAAUUCCUGGUGUAGCGGUGAAAUGCGCAGAUAUCGGGAGGAACACCAGUGGCGAAGGCGGCGAUCUGGGAAGAUACUGACGCUGAGGUGCGAAAGCGUGGGGAGCAAACAGG